Molecule: transfer RNA, 58 nt
Filed under: Apaloderma vittatum (bar-tailed trogon)
Lineage: Eukaryota; Metazoa; Chordata; Aves; Trogoniformes; Trogonidae
Rfam family: tRNA
About the family: Transfer RNA (tRNA) molecules are approximately 80 nucleotides in length.
Source: Rfam by way of RNAcentral
UAGCUCAGUCAGUUGAGCGUGGCGCUAACAACGCCAAGGUCGCAGGUUCGAUUCCUGU